This 253-nucleotide ribosomal RNA is filed under the name uncultured bacterium. RNAcentral describes it as "partial 16S ribosomal RNA". It matches the Rfam family "Bacterial small subunit ribosomal RNA", at positions 524 to 776 of the family's 1533-position model. The record is from RNAcentral.
UACGUAGGUGACCAGCGUUGUCCGGAUUUACUGGGCGUAAAGAGCGCGCAGGCGGUCGUUCAAGUCGAGUGUGAAAGCCCCCGGCUCAACUGGGGAGGGUCAUUCGAUACUGAUCGACUGGAAGGCAGGAGAGGGAAGCGGAAUUCCCGGUGUAGUGGUGAAAUGCGUAGAUAUCGGGAAGAACACCAAUGGCGAAGGCAGCUCUCUGGGACGGUACUGACGCUGAGACGCGAAAGCGUGGGGAGCGAACAGG